RNAcentral lists this ribosomal RNA (331 nucleotides) under Paravaejovis puritanus. Its description in RNAcentral is "partial 12S ribosomal RNA". Lineage: Eukaryota; Metazoa; Arthropoda; Arachnida; Scorpiones; Vaejovidae. The record is from RNAcentral.
UAAAAUUUAUAAAAUUAGGUAGUAAAGAAAUUUCUGAAACCUAAAGAAUUUGGCGGUAUUUUAAAUAAUUGGAGGAACCUAUUAUUUAAUUGACAAUCCACAACAUAUCUUACCUAAAUUUUAUUUGUAUAUCGUCGUUUUGAUAAUAUUUAAAAAUUAUGAUCAAUUUUAAUAAAUUUUUGAAAUUCAGGUCAAGGUGCAGUAUAUUUAGGUUAUAAUGGGUUACAAUAUAUUUAUAUAUAAUGGAUAUAAACUUGAAAAUUAUAUUGAAAGUGGAUUCAAAAGUAAAAUUAAAUUAAAAAGUUUAUUUGAUUAAUAAUUUAAAAUAUGC